CUACGGGAGGCAGCAGUUGGGAAUCUUGGACAAUGGGGGAAACCCUGAUCCAGCCAUGCCGCGUGAGUGAUGAAGGCCUUCGGGUUGUAAAACUCUUUCGACGGGGACGAUAAUGACGGUACCCGUAGAAGAAGCUCCGGCUAACUUCGUGCCAGCAGCCGCGGUAAUACGAAGGGGGCUAGCGUUGUUCGGAAUUACUGGGCGUAAAGCGCGCGCAGGCGGCUAUCCAAGUCAGUGGUGAAAGCCCGGAGCUCAACUCCGGAACUGCCAUUGAAACUGUUUAGCUUGAGGAUGAGAGAGGUGAGUGGAAUUCCCAGUGUAGAGGUGAAAUUCGUAGAUAUUGGGAAGAACACCGGUGGCGAAGGCGGCUCACUGGCUCAUUACUGACGCUCAGGCGCGAUAGCGUGGGGAUCAAACAGGAUUAGAUACCCCCGUAGUCC
RNAcentral lists this ribosomal RNA (440 nucleotides) under uncultured bacterium. RNAcentral's name for it is "bacterial SSU rRNA". It matches the Rfam family "Bacterial small subunit ribosomal RNA", at positions 339 to 796 of the family's 1533-position model. The record is from RNAcentral.